UGUGGCCUCCGUGCGUCCAGCUGUCUUGCAGGUGGAAUGCCACCCAUACUUGGCUCAAAAUGAGCUAAUUGCCCACUGCCAAGCACGUGGCCUGGAGGUAACUGCUUAUAGCCCUUUGGGCUCCUCUGAUCGUGCAUGGCGUGAUCCUGAUGAGCCUGUCCUGCUGGAGGAACCAGUAGUCCUGGCAUUGGCUGAAAAGUAUGGCCGAUCUCCAGCUCAGAUCUUGCUCAGGUGGCAGGUCCAGCGGAAAGUGAUCUGCAUCCCCAAAAGUAUCACUCCUUCUCGAAUCCUUCAGAACAUCAAGGUACUUGGUGUUUGACUUCACCUUUAGCCCAGAAGAGAUGAAGCAGCUAAAUGCCCUGAACAAAAAUUGGAGAUAUAUUGUGCCUAUGCUUACGGUGGAUGGGAAGAGAGUCCCAAGGGAUGCAGGGCAUCCUCUGUACCCCUUUAAUGACCCGUACUGAGACCACAGCUUCUUGGCCUCCCUUCCAGCUCUGCAGCUAAUGAGGUCCUGCCACAACGGAAAGAGGGAGUUAAUAAAGCCAUUGGAGC
Molecule: small RNA, 552 nt
Filed under: Pan troglodytes (chimpanzee)
Lineage: Eukaryota; Metazoa; Chordata; Mammalia; Primates; Hominidae
Description: processed transcript
Source: RNAcentral